Molecule: long non-coding RNA, 698 nt
Organism: Gorilla gorilla gorilla (western lowland gorilla)
Lineage: Eukaryota; Metazoa; Chordata; Mammalia; Primates; Hominidae
Exons: 3
Source: RefSeq, a predicted model, not a curated record
GACCUGAGCUAGAAUGCUCAGCCUCUGUGCCAUGUGAUCAUGUGAUGCCCUGUGCAGCCUUGCGGCUCUGCAGAGGCCCCAUCAGCAAGAAGCCUCUCACCAGAUGACUCUCCUCAACCAGCUUCUAGAACCCUCUUUGCUGGAAUGAACUCCAACCAGCACCCACAAUACUGGGAGUCACAGUGAUGUUUGUCAUUUGCAUGAUUCUUCAGAGACUGCAAAGCCCAUGAUCUGGGUUCUAAGGUAUCCCAGUGAAGAAGCAUGUUCCCGGGUCAAUCCUUUACUCUCCCACCCUAACCUGUCUCAUGGAAUGUAAAGACACAUACGUCCCACGCUUAGGUUCUAUAGAUUGCUUGGGAGUCCGUGGACACCUGGCUAAGGAUUCCUGUGGAGAGAUCAAUUAACCCAAGGGCUCCAGGAGAUGCAGAUCAAAGACCGCCACACAAGAAAGAGGCCACACAGAUAAAGAGCCCAGGACCUGCUGUCAGACCUCCCCAGAUUCAGAUUCUUAGGCCUGCCCCUUAUAGGCUGUGUGACCUCAGACAAGUUCCUUAUUUACUCUGAGCCUGAGUGUCCUCGCUCGUAAAAUGGGUCUAACAACGACCACCUCCAAGAAAGAUCACGAUGCCGAAAUGACUCAGAACAGUGCCUGGCGUGGAAGAGCUGCUGGGAAAAUAAUAACUACUAUUUCUACAUCA